Molecule: ribosomal RNA, 253 nt
Filed under: uncultured bacterium
Lineage: Bacteria
Description: partial 16S ribosomal RNA
Rfam family: Bacterial small subunit ribosomal RNA
Source: RNAcentral
UACGUAGGUGGCGAGCGUUGUACGGAAUUACUGGGUGUAAAGGGCGUGUGGGCGGGGGCUCAAGUCGGAUGUGAAAUACCGUGGCUCAACCACUGGGCUGCAUCCGAAACUGUGCCUAUUGAGUAACGGAGAGGAAAGUGGAAUUCCCAGUGUAGCGGUGAAAUGCGUAGAUAUUGGGAGGAACACCAGUGGCGAAGGCGACUUUCUGGACGGUAACUGACGCUGAGGCGCGAAAGCGUGGGUAGCAAACAGG